CUGAGGACACAGCGUUCAUCCCCUCUAGAGAAUGCAGCAGGAAGGGUCCAUCUUGGAAGCUGAGACGGGACUCUCACCAGACACAGAGACUGCCAAUGCCUUGAUCUUGAACAUUCCAGCAUCCAGAACGGAUUCCCAGAGAGAAGGAAAGGGUGUCUUCACUAGGCUUCAUGGUAGCAAGCACAAUCACUGCAUAAGAAGUGCAGGGACAGCAGAGUGACCCUUCUGUGAACACAUCCAAUGACUGGAGUCCGGAGGCCUAUGGGCUGGAAGUGAGUGUGCCAACAACCAGAGCCCUGGGUAAGAAGGGAACUGCAUCGCAAGGAGGCCCAAUUAAACUGCAAUUACUCAAGAUAAGAAAACGAGGUCUGUUUACACAAUGGGGUUGUAAACCACCGGCUGUGACAAGAGAACUUUGAUCUGGUGGCAAGGGAGCUGUUUCUCAUGCAGGGCAGUGAUGAAACAAGGAGGUUUCCCAAUGAGGAUGUCUCCAUCUUCACCCCAGUAGCCCCAUCUUCUUCUGGUAGCACCCUUGCAUGGACAAGCGGAAAUCCUCACCCCUUCCCAGCCCCAGUAUCCACCUAACACAAUCAAAAAGUGAAGAAUAGAAAGAGAUGAGAUAGUGACUAAAAGGAAAAGAGAAUUGAUGGAGGUCAUCUUUGUGGAGGCGCUUGACAAGCAUGUUCUCACUGAACCGUCACAGUGACCUUCCACGUACCUUAUACCAUGCCUAUUUUACAGAUGAAGACACUGAGGUUCAGAGGAGAAUUUGGCUGGGACCCAUUCCACAGCUGCCUGGACCAGGAGUAAAGGCUCUAUCUCAUGUCUGGUGUCAAGAAGACAGUGUAAGGUGCGUUGGCUUCUGCCUCACCAGAGGGCCUGAAGGUGGAAAUAGAGUCCUGUGGAUCAAUCAACCAGUCGAUCAAUCAAUUACGGAAGGAAGAAAGAAAAUGUACAAAAGAGGAAUUGCCCAAAAGGUUUUGUGACAGGGAGCUGCUCUGAGGGCCGUGGUUAAUUUGGAGCUCUUUUUCUGCAAUGCACUUAGCUAAGCCUCAUGGCAGGACUACCCUCUAUGCUGGUACCAACUAGAGAUUCAGCUGACCCCCCAGGUACCCAUGUCCCACUGGAACUGCACAGGAGGGACGGAGGCCAAUGCCCAGAGCUGGCAAUGACUGACAGCCUCCCUGGGGUCCCUCCCAAGGUGACAUCCAGCAUGAACUCAGGCUUAUUUCCAGUGCCCUGUUCAUUCAGUGCUCGUACGUCUGCAAUACCCUUGAUUUCACAAUAUUUUAUUCUGUAUAGUGAAAGAAAUUAAGUGUCUAAUAAAUGG
RNAcentral lists this long non-coding RNA (1330 nucleotides) under Homo sapiens (human). RNAcentral's name for it is "HSALNT0365729". The record is from RNAcentral. Lineage: Eukaryota; Metazoa; Chordata; Mammalia; Primates; Hominidae.